UACAGAGGUCCCAAGCGUUGUUCGGAUUCAUUGGGCGUAAAGGGUGCGUAGGCGGCGCGGUAAGUCGGGUGUGAAAUCUCGGGGCUUAACUCCGAAACUGCAUUCGAUACUGCCGUGCUUGAGGACUGGAGAGGAGACUGGAAUUUACGGUGUAGCGGUGAAAUGCGCAGAUAUCAGGAGGAACACCGGUGGCGAAGGCGGGUCUCUGGGCCGAUAUUGACGCUGAGGAGCGAAAGCGUGGGGAGCAAACAGG
This 253-nucleotide ribosomal RNA is filed under the name uncultured bacterium. RNAcentral's name for it is "partial 16S ribosomal RNA". It matches the Rfam family "Bacterial small subunit ribosomal RNA", at positions 524 to 776 of the family's 1533-position model. The record is from RNAcentral.